Molecule: long non-coding RNA, 1175 nt
Organism: Mercenaria mercenaria
Lineage: Eukaryota; Metazoa; Mollusca; Bivalvia; Venerida; Veneridae
Exons: 3
Source: RefSeq, a predicted model, not a curated record
UAUUUCAAAACCCACUAAACUGGUGAUAACCAAUGACUGUAAAGUGUUAAUGAUCUCUAAGAUUGAAGUCUCAGAGUCUGUCAAGCAACAGGGUAUGGACAUGGCAAAACAGCUGUCAGGAAGCUACAAUGCACCAACGAUGACUAUUGCUGAGGUGGAAGGAAAACCUGAGGGGACAGUAUUCACCUUAACGGCUGAAGUCACAGAUAUAGACGAUGCCAUCCUGGUUUAAACCAUGUCUAACGCUGAGAUAUAUGUCAGAAACGGUUAUCUCGGUGACAGUACAUCAGGUAUAGCAUUUGCCUUCUGGAGGAAUUUGACAGAGACAGAGCUAAAAGUUGGAGAUACUGUUCACAUUGCCAACGCAGUACGUUCAGUUACAUCUGAUGGUCAGCCUAAAUUAACAGGAGGAAAGUACACAACUGUUACGAAGCUUGAUGUCUCACCAUUCACAUCUGUCAUUAGACCAAAACAAACAGGAUCAAAAACAGCAAGUGUCAUAGGAUUAUCAUCCUUCAAGAAAUAUGAAAGCUGUCCAAACAAAACUUGUUUUGGAAAAAAGCUACUUAACAACACAUGCCCAAACUGCAAAAAAAAACAUACCAUGAAAAAGAAUCCACGAUGUCGGUAGUUUGCAGUGUUAUGCUAGAGGAUGAUGAACAUAACUUUGAUCAAGUCAGUUUGUUCACCAAACAGGUCACAGAGAUUAAAGUUUCUUCCCUUGACUAAACCAAAAGUGAACAGUCAUUGCAAGAAGACUUUGUGAAGUGCCUGUCUUGCAAAAUAAACUACACAAAGAGCCCCAAACAAGACAGCACUAUUGUGAAGUUGAGAAAAUGUUGACUUCCUGAACCACAGAGGAACUAUAACUGUUCUUGUUGACAAUUACCAAUUAAAAAAAACAACAUUAUACUUUAUAACUUCCACUGGAAAUUCCUUCAACUGAUUCGUAAAAAAGCUUACAGCCUUAGUUACCUACUGAUUGCGAAUAUAUCAUUUUGUUAUAAAUCUUUCUGAGAAAAUCUCGAUACAUGUUUGUGACUUUGCGUUAGUUUUUUUUUGCUUGUUCAGUUUUAUGUAUAAUAUGUAUAUAUAUUCUUUGUUGGUUUCUCAUGAAAAUGUAAAAUGUUAAUUUGUUUUCUUUUAUUUGUGUUUUAUUUUUUUUCAUUAUUUUC